This is an RNA transcript of Mus musculus (house mouse), 1848 nucleotides long. It is a transcript of the gene named PRAME like 39, pseudogene, with no coding region annotated. The record is from RefSeq and is marked validated. The transcript has 4 exons. Lineage: Eukaryota; Metazoa; Chordata; Mammalia; Rodentia; Muridae.
ACACUCAGAGACCUGCAGCCUGAUAACUGCCUGGUGCAGCUGGGACUUGGAGACCUAUCUGCAGUGCUCAACUGGAGCCUUCUGACUGGAGACCGAAGAGGAUGACUGUUCAGACUCCGUCCACUCUCCAGAAUCUGGCAUUGCAGGCUCUGCUGAGAGAUGAGGCUUUGGCCUUGUUCUGUCUGGAGGAGGUGCCUUUUCUGCUCUUCCCAGCUCUGUUCAAGGAGGCCUUUGCUGGCAGACUUAAGAAGCUCAUGAAGGCAAUCGUGGCAGCCUGGACUUUUCCCUGUCUCCCUGUGGGGGCUUUGAUGAAGUCACCUAACUUGGAGACCUUGCAGGCUGUGCUAGAUGGAAUAGACAUGCAACUGACAAGAGAAUCUCACCCCAGGGGAAAACUUCAGGUUCUGGACCUGAGGAAUGUGCACCAUGCCUUCUGGGACAUAUGGGCUGGUGCAGAGGAUGGUAGCUGUUCUUCAGAGUCCUUGAAUGAGAAGCCUACAGUAGUGAAGGUCCUUCGCAGAUAUGCACGGAGGAAGCAGCUGAAAGUGGUAGCAGACCUGUGCCUCAGGCCCCGCCGUGAUGAAACACAAGCAUACUUCUUGAAGUGGGCCCAGCAGAGAAAGGACUCCCUACAUUUGUGCUGUAUAAACAUGAAGAUCUGGGCUAUGCCCGUGGACUUUGUCUUAGAGAUUUUGAAUGUCUUUCAUCCAGAGCACAUCGAGGAAUUCGAACUGAACACUGAGUGGAAUGUGUUUAAUCUGGCCCGUUUUGCUCCCUGCUUAGGGCAGAUGAGAAAUCUUCGCAAACUUCUCCUGGCACCCCUCUAUAAGAAUGUCUUCAAGAUUGCCAAUAGGACAGGAGACAGAGAAGAUAAGUGUGUCAAGGAGUUCGUUUCUAUCUUCUCCAAAUUCAAUUGUCUCCAGCAUCUCUCCAUGCAAGGUGUCCACUUUCUCACAGACCACAUGAGUCAGGUCUUCAGGUGCUUGAUGACACCCUUGGAGUCCCUCUCCAUCACUCACUACCAAAUUUCACAGUCAGACUUGGAUUCCUUCUCUUGCUGUCAGAGUCUCUUUCAGCUAAAACAUCUGGAGAUGAAAGGCAUGGUCUUACAGGUUUUGGAUGUGAUGCCUCUGAGAGGUCUCUUAGAGAAAGUGGCAAAAACUCUUGAGACUCUGAAUUUGCAGGGAUGUAAGCUGAAGGACUCUCAGCUCAAUGCACUCCUACCUUCCUUCAUACGAUGCUCUCAGCUCACCAAGAUCAACUUGUACAACAAUGACUUCUCCAUGCCCAUCCUGAAGGACCUUUUACAGCAAACAGCCAACUGAAAGAAGAUGAAUGUGGAACAGUACCCUGCCCCUCUGGAGUGUUAUAAUGAGUUGGGACAUGUCUCUGUAGAAAGAUUUGCCCAACUUUGUCAGGAACUCAUGGAUACACUAAGGGCAAUAAGGCAGCCCAAGAGCCUCUCUUUUGCUACACGUAUAUGCCACAAAUGUGGCGAGCCCUGUGUCUAUGGUCAGGGGGGUAGACUUUGUUUUUGCUGGCGGUGAACAUGGAUUCAGAACUUCUGCAUGUGAAUAAAUGACAGUCUUGAGACACAUCUCUCAUCUGGGGUGCUCAGAGACUGACUUCAGGCAAUGUACAGAUACUUGGAAAGGAAAGGAUGUACAAUAAUUGGGAUUUUGGAGGCUAAGCUUGACAUGGGGAGCAGACUUGUGGACUGGCAAAGGCAACUUGGAUGUUUUGAGUGGACUCUGCUGGGACAGAUUAACUAGAUCCUUUGUCAUGGACUUGUAAACUUUUUGUUCUUCACUGUAAUAUAUAAUUGAAUAAAUAGAACAUGGGUGCUUU